RNAcentral lists this ribosomal RNA (293 nucleotides) under uncultured bacterium. RNAcentral's name for it is "partial 16S ribosomal RNA". It matches the Rfam family "Bacterial small subunit ribosomal RNA", at positions 775 to 1067 of the family's 1533-position model. The record is from RNAcentral.
GGAUUAGAUACCCUGGUAGUCCUAGCCGUAAACGAUGUACACUUGAUGUAAUUGGACUCAACCCCAAUUGUGUCGAAGCUAACGCGAUAAGUGUACCGCCUGGAGAGUACGCUCGCAAGAGUGAAACCCAAAAGAAUUGACGGGGGCCCGCACAAGCAGUGGAGCAUGUGGUUUAAUUCGAUGCAACGCGAAGAACCUUACCUAGGCUGAAACUUAAGAGGACCGCACUGGAGACAGUGUUUUCCGCAAGGACUUCUUGAGAGGUGCUGCAUGGCUGUCGUCAGCUCGUGUCG